This 481-nucleotide ribosomal RNA is filed under the name Trichoderma sp. AH-Group-9. RNAcentral's name for it is "eukaryotic LSU rRNA". The stretch from base 168 to 321 matches the Rfam family "5.8S ribosomal RNA". The record is from RNAcentral. Lineage: Eukaryota; Fungi; Ascomycota; Sordariomycetes; Hypocreales; Hypocreaceae.
ACUCAACCAUGUGACCAUACCAAACUGUUGCCUCGGCGGGGUCACGCCCCGGGNGNGUCGCAGCCCCGGAACCAGGCGCCCGCCGGAGGGACCAACCAAACUCUUUCUGUAGUCCCCUCGNGGACGUUAUUUCUUACAGCUCUGAGCAAAAAUUCAAAAUGAAUCAAAACUUUCAACAACGGAUCUCUUGGUUCUGGCAUCGAUGAAGAACGCAGCGAAAUGCGAUAAGUAAUGUGAAUUGCAGAAUUCAGUGAAUCAUCGAAUCUUUGAACGCACAUUGCGCCCGCCAGUAUUCUGGCGGGCAUGCCUGUCCGAGCGUCAUUUCAACCCUCGAACCCCUCCGGGGGUCCGGCGUUGGGGAUCGGGAACCCCUAAGACGGGAUCCCGGCCCCGAAAUACAGUGGCGGUCUCGCCGCAGCCUCUCAUGCGCAGUAGUUUGCACAACUCGCACCGGGAGCGCGGCGCGUCCACGUCCGUAAAA